RNAcentral lists this ribosomal RNA (471 nucleotides) under uncultured bacterium. RNAcentral's name for it is "partial 16S ribosomal RNA". It matches the Rfam family "Bacterial small subunit ribosomal RNA", at positions 28 to 507 of the family's 1533-position model. The record is from RNAcentral.
GACGAACGCUGGCGGCGUGCUUAACACAUGCAAGUCGAACGAUGAAGCCUAGCUUGCUAGGUGGAUUAGUGGCGAACGGGUGAGUAAUACGUGAGUAACCUACCUUUAACUCUGGGAUAAGCCUGGGAAACUGGGUCUAAUACCGGAUACGACCAAUCUCCGCAUGGGGUGUUGGUGGAAAGCGUUAUGUAGUGGUUAUAGAUGGGCUCACGGCCUAUCAGCUUGUUGGUGAGGUAACGGCACACCAAGGCGACGACGGGUAGCCGGCCUGGGAGGGUGACCGGCCACACUGGGACUGAGACACGGCCCAGACUCCUACGGGAGGCAGCAGUGGGGAAUAUUGCACAAUGGGCGCAAGCCUGAUGCAGCGACGCCGCGUGAGGGAUGACGGCCUUCGGGUUGUAAACCUCUGUUAGCAGGGAAGAAGAGAAAUUGACGGUACCUGCAGAGAAAGCGCCGGCUAACUACGUG